CCCUUAGAUGUUCUGGGCCGCACGCGCGCUACACUGAUGCAUUCAACGAGUCUAAAACCUGCUCUGAUAGGGGUGGGUAAUCUUUUGAAUGUGCAUCGUGAUUGGGAUAGAUGAUUGCAAUUUUUCAUCUUCAACGAGGAAUGCCUAGUAAACGCAAGUCAUCAGCUUGCAUUGAUUACGUCCCUGCCCUUUGUACACACCGCCCGUCGCUCCUACCGAUUGAAUGAUCCGAUGAAUAUCAUGGAUUGAGGAUGCAAGUAGGUUAGCCUAUCUUCAUCUUCGAGAAGUGAAGUAAAUCUUAUCAUUUAGGGGAAGGAGAAGUCGUAACA
Molecule: ribosomal RNA, 329 nt
Filed under: uncultured eukaryote
Lineage: Eukaryota
Description: partial 18S ribosomal RNA
Rfam family: Eukaryotic small subunit ribosomal RNA
Source: RNAcentral